GCCUGGGUGGCUCAGUCGGUUGAGUGUCUGACUUCAACUCAGGUCAUGAUCUCAUGGUUCAUGGGUUUGAGCCCCGUGUCGGGGCU
This 86-nucleotide transfer RNA is filed under the name Felis catus (domestic cat). It matches the Rfam family "tRNA". From Rfam's summary of the family: Transfer RNA (tRNA) molecules are approximately 80 nucleotides in length. Their secondary structure includes four short double-helical elements and three loops (D, anti-codon, and T loops). Lineage: Eukaryota; Metazoa; Chordata; Mammalia; Carnivora; Felidae. The record is from Rfam by way of RNAcentral.